This 253-nucleotide ribosomal RNA is filed under the name uncultured bacterium. RNAcentral's name for it is "partial 16S ribosomal RNA". It matches the Rfam family "Bacterial small subunit ribosomal RNA", at positions 524 to 776 of the family's 1533-position model. The record is from RNAcentral.
UACGGAGGGUGCGAGCGUUAAUCGGAAUUAUUGGGCGUAAAGGGUGCGUAGGUGGUUUCAUAAGUUAGUUGUGAAAGUCCUGGGCUUAACCUAGGGAUGUCAACUAGUACUGUGAGACUUGAGUAAAGUAGAGGGUAGUGGAAUUUCCGGUGUAGCGGUGAAAUGCGUAGAGAUCGGAAGGAACACCGGUGGCGAAGGCGGCUACCUGGGCUAUUACUGACACUGAGGCACGAAAGCGUGGGGAGCAAACAGG